Molecule: transfer RNA, 65 nt
Filed under: Dipodomys ordii (Ord's kangaroo rat)
Lineage: Eukaryota; Metazoa; Chordata; Mammalia; Rodentia; Heteromyidae
Rfam family: tRNA
About the family: Transfer RNA (tRNA) molecules are approximately 80 nucleotides in length. Their secondary structure includes four short double-helical elements and three loops (D, anti-codon, and T loops).
Source: Rfam by way of RNAcentral
GGUGGCUCAGUGGUAGAGUGCUUGCCUUGCAUGCAUGAGACCCUGGGUUCGGUUCCUCAGCACCA